This 22-nucleotide small nuclear RNA is filed under the name Arabidopsis thaliana (thale cress). Its description in RNAcentral is "snRNA_18496". Lineage: Eukaryota; Viridiplantae; Streptophyta; Magnoliopsida; Brassicales; Brassicaceae. The record is from RNAcentral.
UCCCACUUUUGUGGACUAUGAA